Molecule: ribosomal RNA, 482 nt
Filed under: uncultured bacterium
Lineage: Bacteria
Description: bacterial SSU rRNA
Rfam family: Bacterial small subunit ribosomal RNA
Source: RNAcentral
AUUGAACGCUGGCGGCAUGCUUUACACAUGCAAGUCGAACGGGCUUGGGGGCUUGCUCCCAAGUUAGUGGCGAACGGGUGAGUAAUACAUCGGAACGUACCGUGUAGUGGGGGAUAACUUAGCGAAAGUUAGGCUAAUACCGCAUACGAUCUACGGAUGAAAGUGGGGGACCUUCGGGCCUCACGCUAUACGAGCGGCCGAUGUCUGAUUAGCUAGUUGGUGAGGUAAAGGCUCACCAAGGCGACGAUCAGUAGCGGGUCUGAGAGGAUGAUCCGCCACACUGGGACUGAGACACGGCCCAGACUCCUACGGGAGGCAGCAGUGGGGAAUUUUGGACAAUGGGCGAAAGCUUGAUCCAGCCAUGCCGCGUGUCUGAAGAAGGCCUCGGUUGUAAGGACUUUGUCAGGGAGCAAACUUAAGAGGUUAAUAACCUUUGUAGGUUGUAGAGUACCUGAAGAAGUAAGACACCGGCUAACUACGUG